Bolinopsis microptera is the source of this 773-nucleotide long non-coding RNA. RefSeq lists it as uncharacterized. The record is from RefSeq and is a predicted model, not a curated record. The transcript is spliced from 2 exons. NCBI's taxonomy places the organism in Eukaryota, Metazoa, Ctenophora, Tentaculata, Lobata, Bolinopsidae.
GAAAGCUUUGUUUAAAAAAAGUUAUGUUUUAAUUUCUCUUCAUCAUCUAGCACUGUUGUACUGUAGAAAUUAAGGAUUUUAUUUGACAAUAACGACUAUUUUGUAAGUAUUUGGAUUCUCUAAACGACAAGUUUUCAAAAUAGCAAUCACAAUAUCAAUCACAACCAAAGUUAUGAAUAAUCAUAGUAUACUUAUAGCGUGAGCGUAAAUGUUAGAUAGUCAUGUAGUUUUGGUAACAUUGUAGUGUUUUUAUGACUAUGUCCCCGCGUUGCCAAGGAGAUUUCGUCAAGACCAUUAUAUAGUAUAGAUUUCGCCACUGGCCAGUUUUAAAUUAUUAAGUUAUUAAUAUUAUUGAUUAGAUUGGGUAUUAAUUGUUUUGAAUUCUAUGUCCAUUGAGCGAUUCGAAAAAUUGUACCAUUAAUUUGUUUGUAGAUUUGGUUGUUAAAAGAAUGGUAUUACAUUUGCUCGAUUUCAAUUAAUUUCAUGGCAAUCUCAUUUUGUUUUUGAUGAUAAGUACGGAAAGCUAAAUGUUUGUUUGAUCCUCGGUUAUUUUAACAUUGUGUCUGUGAUAACACACUGCAAAACGGAAUAGAAACUAAAUUUUUUCAAUCCUAGUUGAUCAGUAUAAAAUCACAUUUGUAAUCCGUUCAGUAGAUUUUUACCAAAUGCAUGUUGCAUAAUAAUAUAUAAUUCACAUCGAGUUCAAUCCAUGUUUAACCGUUCUCCCAUCAAUUUCAUGUUCUUGUACUUAGAGUUCUCUUGGAAUUCUCAAA